GUUAUAUGGUCAAGUGAAGAAGCGCAUACGGUGGAUGCCUUGGCAGUCAGAGGCGAUGAAAGACGUGGUAGCCUGCGAAAAGCUUUGGGGAGUCGGCAAACAGACUGUGAUCCAGAGAUCUCUGAAUGGGGGAACCCAGCCAGCAUAAGCUGGUUAUCUUGUACUGAAUACAUAGGUGCAAGAGGCGAACCAGGGGAACUGAAACAUCUAAGUACCCUGAGGAAAAGAAAUCAACCGAGAUUCCCUUAGUAGUGGCGAGCGAACGGGGACCAGCCCUUAAGUUGGUUUGAGAUUAGUGGAACGCUUUGGAAAGUGCGGCCAUAGUGGGUGAUAGCCCCGUACACGAAAAUCUCUUAUCAAUGAAAUCGAGUAGGACGGAGCACGAGAAACUUUGUCUGAAUAUGGGGGGACCAUCCUCCAAGGCUAAAUACUACUGACUGACCGAUAGUGAACUAGUACCGUGAGGGAAAGGCGAAAAGAACCCCGGAGAGGGGAGUGAAAUAGAUCCUGAAACCGUAUGCGUACAAGCAGUGGGAGCCUACUUUGUUAGGUGACUGCGUACCUUUUGUAUAAUGGGUCAGCGACUUAUAUUCAGUGGCGAGCUUAACCGAAUAGGGGAGGCGUAGCGAAAGCGAGUCUUAAUAGGGCGUUUAGUCGCUGGGUAUAGACCCGAAACCGGGCGAUCUAUCCAUGGGCAGGUUGAAGGUUAGGUAACACUGACUGGAGGACCGAACCGACUACCGUUGAAAAGUUAGCGGAUGACCUGUGGAUCGGAGUGAAAGGCUAAUCAAGCUCGGAGAUAGCUGGUUCUCCUCGAAAGCUAUUUAGGUAGCGCCUCAUGUAUCACUGUAGGGGGUAGAGCACUGUUUCGGCUAGGGGGUCAUCCCGACUUACCAAACCGAUGCAAACUCCGAAUACCUACAAGUGCCGAGCAUGGGAGACACACGGCGGGUGCUAACGUCCGUCGUGAAAAGGGAAACAACCCAGACCGUCAGCUAAGGUCCCAAAGUCAUGGUUAAGUGGGAAACGAUGUGGGAAGGCUUAGACAGCUAGGAGGUUGGCUUAGAAGCAGCCACCCUUUAAAGAAAGCGUAAUAGCUCACUAGUCGAGUCGGCCUGCGCGGAAGAUGUAACGGGGCUCAAACCAUGCACCGAAGCUACGGGUAUCAUCUUAUGAUGAUGCGGUAGAGGAGCGUUCUGUAAGCCUGUGAAGGUGAGUUGAGAAGCUUGCUGGAGGUAUCAGAAGUGCGAAUGCUGACAUGAGUAACGACAAUGCG
RNAcentral lists this ribosomal RNA (1276 nucleotides) under Thalassospira xiamenensis. RNAcentral's name for it is "bacterial LSU rRNA". It matches the Rfam family "Bacterial large subunit ribosomal RNA", at positions 1 to 1319 of the family's 2925-position model. Lineage: Bacteria; Pseudomonadati; Pseudomonadota; Alphaproteobacteria; Rhodospirillales; Thalassospiraceae. The record is from RNAcentral.